RNAcentral lists this ribosomal RNA (244 nucleotides) under uncultured anaerobic ammonium-oxidizing bacterium. RNAcentral's name for it is "partial 16S ribosomal RNA". It matches the Rfam family "Bacterial small subunit ribosomal RNA", at positions 439 to 674 of the family's 1533-position model. The record is from RNAcentral.
GGAGUUAGGAAAUGUAAGUGCGCUAAUAUCGUGCCUAUUUGACAAAGGCUCCAAAGGAAGCCACGGCUAACUCUGUGCCAGCAGCCGCGGUAAUACAGAGGUGGCGAGCGUUGUUCGGAAUUAUUGGGCGUAAAGAGCACGUAGGUGGGUUUGCAAGUCAGAUGUGAAAGCCUUCUGUUCAACGGAAGAAUUGCAUCUGAAACUGCUAAUCUUGAGUAUAGGAGGGGAGAGUGGAACUUCUGGU